UGUGUAGGCGGUUUUUUAAGUUUGGUGUGAAAUCUCCCGGCUUAACCGGGAGGGUGCGCCGAAUACUGAGGGACUAGAGUACGGGAGAGGAAAGUGGAAUUCCUGGUGUAGCGGUGAAAUGCGUAGAUAUCAGGAGGAACACCGGUGGUGUAGACGGCUUUCUGGACCGUAACUGACGCUGAAACACGAAAGCGUGGGUAGCAAACAGGAUUAGAUACCCUGGUAGUCCACGCCCUAAACGAUGCAUAUUUGGUGUGGGCAGUUCAUUCUGUCCGUGCCGGAGCUAACGCGUUAAAUAUGCCGCCUGGGGAGUACAGUCGCAAGGCUGAA
RNAcentral lists this ribosomal RNA (330 nucleotides) under uncultured bacterium. RNAcentral describes it as "bacterial SSU rRNA". It matches the Rfam family "Bacterial small subunit ribosomal RNA", at positions 568 to 898 of the family's 1533-position model. The record is from RNAcentral.